GGCUUGAGGACCGUAUUCAUGGAAGAGGAUCGAACAGACUACUGAGUUCUUAUGAGAAAAAUGGCUCUUAAGAAAUUGAAGGUGAUACCAAAGGAAAGUUACUUAUUACUUUUGGACUUUGAUGAUGAGGACGAUGAUAUAAAAGUUUCAGAGGAGGCUCUUUCGGAAGAGAUGAAGUAGACAGUAUGUUGGAUAAAUCUGAAGCUGCAUCAUUGGACUCAAACUGAAUGGUCCAUGUGUUGCCACUGAUGUGAGCCAUUUGCAAGCC
RNAcentral lists this non-coding RNA (268 nucleotides) under Mus musculus (house mouse). The record is from RNAcentral. Lineage: Eukaryota; Metazoa; Chordata; Mammalia; Rodentia; Muridae.